RNAcentral lists this long non-coding RNA (521 nucleotides) under Dasypus novemcinctus (nine-banded armadillo). RNAcentral's name for it is "lncRNA (ENSDNOG00000052067.1)". The record is from RNAcentral. Lineage: Eukaryota; Metazoa; Chordata; Mammalia; Cingulata; Dasypodidae.
CGGGGAGGGAGGAGGAGUAAAGACUGUUUACAAACUUGACGUACACACGCAGCCUUACCCAUACGGUCCAGGAAUCGGGGGGCCACCACCUGGGGCUUCUCUGAAGGGCCGCAUUCAGGUUCCGGGUCACUGCCCACCGCGAGGAUAACCUUCCAAACAACGGAAGGAACUCCUGCGCUCCAGCCCGAAGUCUUGGGGCAGCCAUGACUCACAGCAGCAGCCCCUCAGCCUUCGCCAGACCGCCGCCUCCGCCCACCCUGAACAACCUCAGCAACGCAGCCUGGGCGCCUCGGCUCCGAGGGCUUUGCUGGGGGCUUCAGGGGUCGACCUCCUUCCGCGUACCCCAGCAGGCUAGACCUCCCCCACCCAGCCUUCAAGCUUGCCGCGCUGCGCACCCGACUUCUCUAGUGCGCGGCGGGGAUGGCUGCAGCAUCCAGGCGAGGAACUCUGAAAACUCACAACGCACCGGGCUGCUUUCCAGAAGGACUUUCCUAAUGAACAAAUCCACCACCAGCGAGUGA